This 93-nucleotide transfer RNA is filed under the name Candidatus Bathyarchaeota archaeon. Its description in RNAcentral is "tRNA-Val". It matches the Rfam family "tRNA". Rfam says of the family: Transfer RNA (tRNA) molecules are approximately 80 nucleotides in length. The record is from RNAcentral. Lineage: Archaea; Thermoproteati; Candidatus Bathyarchaeota.
GGGCCCGUGGUCUAGCUGGUAGGACAGAGGAGGAUCCCUAUCGCCGCCCUCACGCGGCGGAGGUCGCCGGUCCGAAUCCGGCCGGGCCCACCA